RNAcentral lists this ribosomal RNA (235 nucleotides) under uncultured bacterium. RNAcentral's name for it is "partial 16S ribosomal RNA". It matches the Rfam family "Bacterial small subunit ribosomal RNA", at positions 103 to 334 of the family's 1533-position model. The record is from RNAcentral.
CGGGUGAGUAACACGUAUGCAAUCCACCUGUAACAGGGGGAUAACCCGGAGAAAUCUGGACUAAUACCCCAUAAUAUGGGCGCUCCGCAUGGAGAGUCCAUUAAAGAGAGCAAUCUUGGUUACAGACGAGCAUGCGCUCCAUUAGCCAGUUGGCGGGGUAACGGCCCACCAAGGCGACGAUGGAUAGGGGUUCUGAGAGGAAGGUCCCCCACAUUGGAACUGAGACACGGUCCAA